GCCCCGACCACUCCACUUUCUGGCCGGACACGCUGUGAAAAAAGGAGGAUGAAAACGCCCCGGCUCGGGCUGCGGCAGUGUGGAGACCUGUCGUAAAAGCAGCGCCACGCAAGUGGGCUGUGAGGGCACAUUUGGCGGAGGCCGUGUGUCCGGAGUCGAAAUUAUGGCA
This 169-nucleotide non-coding RNA is filed under the name bovine gut metagenome. RNAcentral's name for it is "malK-I RNA". It matches the Rfam family "malK-I RNA". The record is from RNAcentral.